RNAcentral lists this ribosomal RNA (520 nucleotides) under uncultured bacterium. RNAcentral's name for it is "bacterial SSU rRNA". It matches the Rfam family "Bacterial small subunit ribosomal RNA", at positions 29 to 524 of the family's 1533-position model. The record is from RNAcentral.
AACGAACGCUGGCGGCGUGCUUAACACAUGCAAGUCGAACGAGAAAGUCGUAGCAAUACGGCGAGUAAAGUGGCGCACGGGUCCGUAACACGUGGAUAAUCUGCCUUCGGGUGGGGAACAACUUGUCGAAAGACGAGCUAAUACCCCGUAAGACCACGAGAACUUCGGUUCUUGAGGUAAAAGGUAGGCCUCUACUUGUAAGCCAUCACCUGAAGAUGAGUCCGCGCACCAUUAGCUAGUUGGAGGGUAAUGGCCUACCAAGGCAAAUAUGGUUAGCUGGUCUGAGAGGACGACCAGCGACACUGGAACUGAGACACGGUCCAGACUCCUACGGGAGGCAGCAGUGGGGAAUCUUGGACAAUGGGCGAAAGCCUGAUCCAGCAACGCCGCGUGAGUGAUGAAGGCCGUCGGGUCGUAAAGCUCUGUCGGAGGGAACGAAACGGGACAACCUAAUACGUUGUCCUUUGACGGUACUCUCAAAGGAAGCACCGGCUAACUCUGUGCCAGCCGCCGCCGUAAG